This 2162-nucleotide long non-coding RNA is filed under the name Daucus carota (carrot). RNAcentral's name for it is "long non-coding RNA (DCAR_LNC000991)". The record is from RNAcentral. Lineage: Eukaryota; Viridiplantae; Streptophyta; Magnoliopsida; Apiales; Apiaceae.
AUAGAGGUAUUGUGAGACUAUUUAGAGAUAGUCUAGAGAUGCGAUAAAGGUAUAGAAUCUGGUUAGACGAUCAAAUUGAGUGUAUAGGUUUAGAGAGAUUUUGAUUCUUAAGUUUAGACAUAGGAUUUCUAGUAUGUUGACUAAUUGAGAUGAUGAAUUGUGUGAAAGGUCAAGAUUAGACCUAGAUAGAAGAGUUUGAUAGUGAAUGAUUGAGUUGAGAAUGGUGAAAAUGCAGAGUUCGGAGUAUUCUGACUAUACUGUAUAUUUGAAACCGGAUUAUCAUAUUGAUUUGAGGAUGAGAUAAAUGCAUGGUUCAUAAUAUGUUGACCAUGUCAGAUAUUUGGAAGAUGUAUAUUGUUUUGAGUAAAGAUAUGAAGCGUAAGUGUAGAGUAUGAGUUGUAUUGGAUUAGAAGGAGAGAUUGGUUGAUAGGUGAGAAGUGAAUGAUAGAGAGUACGUGGAAUUGAGUCCAGUUAUUAGAGAUGAUGUCUACGAAUAAGUUAGAACGUUAGUCCUCGACGACAACGCUUCGAGCUAAUCGGGAUUUCAAAUGGCAUCAAGGUGGGCCCAUAACCCACAGGUUGAUGAUCCAGACAAUCGAAGAUACGUUACGUGUUUGUGCUAUGGAUUUCAAAGGCAACUGGGAUAAAGUAGAAGAAUGUAAACUACAUGGGCCAGAGUUAUUACGGACGAUAACGUCUACGAUGACAUCUUACGAGGCUAUUACGAGUCAACAUCGAUCGAUUAUCGAGAAUGUUGAAAAGAGGAUAUAUAUCGAACAAUGAUUUAUUGAAGCAGAGCGAAAAUCUGAGAAGACCUUGGCAAUACCUCUCUUCAACUAAAGAUUCUUUUGAUUGUUUUCUCAUCAGUGAGAUAUUAUCAUAAUAUCUUUUCUACAAAAGUUUUGAUAAAUGAGAUCUUCAAUUUCUUAAAUUCUAAGAUGACAUUGAUAUUGAUUAUUGGUAUGAGUUGGAAAGCAAAUAUGUGUGAUAAAGGUUUGUUGUGAAGAGAUAGUGAUGUUCCUUGAUAUUGUUUGACAUUUCUUGACAUUCCUUGAUACCCUUUCAUCUACCUUGAUAUCCCUUAGUGUUCUUUGAUAUUGUUGAUAUUCAUUGAUAUUCUCUGAUAUUCCUUAACAUUUCUUCAAUUUGAUUGGGAUGAACAACCCUAUUUAUAGGGGACACAAGGUAUACCUGUCUGUGUGAUAGGAGUUGGAUGGGACGCCAUCACUUGUGUGUGUUGUGAUUACAAGAAGGUUAACAACCUUUAGUAGUGUCUAAUGUGGACACGCAACACCAAGUUCGUUGAUCAUAUAGAUCUCUCAGUCACUCCUUUAUUCAAAUGUGAUCUACCUUGAAAACAUUUUGUUCUAUUCAAAAUUCCACAAGAUUGAUUCUUGGGAAAUGAAUUUUGCAAUUGUAAAAGUUUGAUUUUCCUUUUUCAUUAAAGUUAAAGGUAUGCCAAGAUCAACCAAAGGUGAAUGACGAUAUGAUAUUACGAAGCGUGUACGUUUUAGUUUCUUCGGAGGAUUCCGAGGACGGAAUCCUUAUAAGGGGGGUAGAAUGUAAUAUCCCAUAUUAUUAAAUUUAGAUGUGAUUAUUAUAAAUCUAUUUGUCUAGAUAUUAUUGUUGGCUCUAGUUGAAUAUUGAUAUGAUUAUGUGAAUAGUUGUAUGUGAUUAUACUUGUUAUGUGGAUUAAUAUGGAUUUUACAGAUUAUGCAUCCUCCUUCUUUUUCUGAUUCCGAGGACGGAAUCCCUAUAAGGAGGGUAGAUUGUAAUGACCUGGAUUUUUAAAAAUAUUUUUAUUAGUAUUAAAAGUGAUUUUUCUUAAAAAGAAGGGAAUAAGAUUUAAUAUUUUAUUCCAGUUUAAUGAGUUUUCAAAGUUUUAUAUUAAACCCCGGGUUAUUGUGUUAUUGAUAAAUAAUUGUAUUUUUAAAACUGAUUUUCAUAUAUUGUUUUGAAAAUUUUAGAUGAUUAUUAUGUGAAUAUAUGUGUGAUGUGAGUAAGUGGUAUUGGUGGAUUUGUUGGUUAAUUAAUUAUGGUUAAUUAUGAGUAUUAUAUGAUUAAUAUAUGAAUUUUUGUGAAUUUUAUAUUAUCUGGUUUAUUGCGUUAACUGCUCAUAUGUGUUCGUAUUUGAGAGAUUUCAAUUUCUAUAUGUUCAGGAG